Molecule: unclassified non-coding RNA, 117 nt
Organism: Macaca fascicularis (crab-eating macaque)
Lineage: Eukaryota; Metazoa; Chordata; Mammalia; Primates; Cercopithecidae
Rfam family: Metazoan signal recognition particle RNA
About the family: The signal recognition particle (SRP) is a universally conserved ribonucleoprotein.
Source: Ensembl
GCCGGGCACGGUGGCUCAUGCCUGUAAUCCCAGCACUUUGGGAGGCUGAGGCAGGUGGAUCACCUGAGGUCAGGAGUUCCAGACCAGCCUGACCAACAUGGUGAAACCCUGUCUCUA